This is a non-coding RNA of Triticum aestivum (bread wheat), 125 nucleotides long. Lineage: Eukaryota; Viridiplantae; Streptophyta; Magnoliopsida; Poales; Poaceae. The record is from Rfam.
AUGGUACUCCCUCCGUCCGGAAAUACUCGUCGGAGAAAGGCAUAAAAAUGGAUGUAUCUAAAACUAAAAUACGUCUAGAUACAUCCAUUUCCCCGACAAGUAUUUCCGGACAAAGGGAGUAGUUG